This 30-nucleotide non-coding RNA is filed under the name Mus musculus (house mouse). The record is from RNAcentral. Lineage: Eukaryota; Metazoa; Chordata; Mammalia; Rodentia; Muridae.
CAAGAAACACAAAGAAUGGACAGCAAGUCU